Molecule: long non-coding RNA, 2327 nt
Filed under: Zea mays
Lineage: Eukaryota; Viridiplantae; Streptophyta; Magnoliopsida; Poales; Poaceae
Description: long non-coding RNA (ZMAY_LNC001740)
Source: RNAcentral
AAUGCAAUCAGAGUACUUAUUACAUAGCGGAAGUCUUACAAAAUAAGAAAUAAAUAUAGCAGGAUCUAAAAUCCAUCCUUGGCGCCAGAAAGCUGACUGGGAGACGCCACCUAGAUCAAGUUGAAAGCCUCAAUGUUAGACAGCUCCUCUUCGACCACCUGUUCUUCUCCUGUGGGGGGUGUGAGACAGCAAGGGUGAGCUCACACAUGUUCAUCGCUCAACAAGUUGUGGGGAAUAAUGUGCAUGAACUCACCAAAGGUAAAAUUUUGACCAACUUAUUAAUUGCUAUUAAAAUUUUGACCAACUUAUAAAAGCAAUGCUCAGCUUCAGCCUUUAUUUCAUUGAUCAGCCUUACACUUCAUGAACUCACCCUUGCUGUAUACCAGUUUUACACUCAGCAGAGGUUGCACAUCUUUACCCACAAGUCGUGUUACCCAUUUGCCACGGAGUUGAUCAGACCCCAUACACCUCUACCAAGGAAGUGAGGCAUGGUACCACUACGAGGCCUUUACAAAGUUCCACUAGCUUCAGAAAACCCGCUACAGUUAUAGGAAGCUCCAGUGCAGGAAUCCCUCGCCUCACCGCCAUCGCAGCAAAAUCAACCCAAGGACCUCCCUACACUGACCACUCCCCUACUGCCCUUGCCCCUUUCGGGUAAGGUAGUCAUCCACUAGCUUUCCUAGUUAAUCAGCCCAGGGCGUCCCAUUAAAUCCUUGUGGUAGCACUGUUUUCUCGGGUGGUUCUCCAUGUUCCCAUUAACAUAAUGAUCUUAUCAUGACAGUAAAUAAUAAACAUAUAAUAAAAAGUGUAAACAUGAGUAAUGAAUAUCUCUAUACCCAAAACCACAUAAAGCAAUAGCAUGUAUUACCCAAAAAUUUAGAAGUAAAACCAGUGGUGAUACAAGGUAUAAAGAUAGUCAAAAUAUAGGGUAACCUAUUGAGUCCCAUCAAAAUUAACCUAUGCAGAUCAUUAUGAUUAAUAAGAAGAUGAAUGGGUAAAAGAAGUGAUCAAGGGCACAACUUGCCUUCAACGAGCUCCUGCUCAGUAGUCUCUACCAGCUGAACAUCAGGAUGCUCUGUAGCUUGCUCGUCUACUCGCAUCAACACAAUACAUACAUAGUAUAGCAAAAAUUAACAUCACACUAAACAUGUAAAUAAAAUACACAAUAAUAAUCUAGACAUUAAAAUAGGAUCACAGGAACAAAAAUUGUUAAUUUUGAAGUUAUGGAUUUUUAGUUAUGAAUUUUUGAAGGUUUUAUGUGUUUAAUACAAGAUUAAGUACUAGAUAAAUUUUAAUAUGUCUUUCAUGUCAAAACAGUGGCACUAAUGAUUAGACAAUAAUAUUACAAAAAUUUAGGGACUGGAAUGGACCAAUUUGGAGUUCAUAUGGAUUUUCUUGGAAUUUAACAAGUUCUAACAUUUAUUUAUGCAUUAAAAACCAAUUUCUGUUUUAUUUUCUAUGGUUUUUCUGUUGUCUGGACUGGGCACAAUUUUCUGGAAAGUGCAGGGGGUCUGGCGCAAGAUUCUACAGACUCAGAGAAUAGUAAAUGAGGACGGCGGGUUGUUUUCUAAAUUUUCCGAGGGCUCUUUCGCAAAGUGGCCUGCUAAGCGGUACCGGCCGAUUACGACCGUUGGAUCAACAGCUAAUGCCACCGAUUAGAUCCCAGAUCUCACGAAUCGAUAUGCGAAAUGGGCCACUGGAUCUGGAUCCUACGGCCCAUAGUCGAUCUGCGGGUUGGAAUGCAUAGCCAGAUCCAUCCGUCCAUUCCUAGACUGACGGUUCCGAUUCAAAGAAAUCCAUUCAACGCCCCAACUCUAAUCCCGAUCGCUCAAGCCUGAUCCGACGGCUGCACACAUUUCCCAUUCCUAACCAAUCAUGGCCACCCACCUAGGGAUCGACGGCAGAUGAUUCGUCUUCUCCAUGGCGCCAUUCGCCGCCUGCGCGCGCCAGGGAGACACAGCUCCGCCAGCGAUCGAGGGCGCCCUCAAAUGCGCACUGACGCGCACCCUCGCCACCGCGUCUAUCCUAGGUCAAACCAAAGGUGGUGUCGCGCCCAGCUACGUCGAGCAAUACACCGACCCAACUUGGGGCUAGGUGAGCUACGCCAUGAAGGAAAGGUAGGGCGAGAACGUGGGGGUUUCCUUACCGAAAGGUCCACUUGCCGCAACCUCGCUUCCGAUGACCGCCUUCGCAAUUCACCCGCAACCAAGUGCAGUCGCCGAGGAAUCCCGACGGCGGCGGUGGCAAAUCCGAGCUCCAAUCAAGCGUCCACAAGUUAGCUAUUUCCCUGACGCCGUUGAGUUGAGAGGGCCCUGCGCGGUUUGGAU